ACUAUUUUGGCAGAUUAGUGCAAUAAAUUUAGAAUUUAUUUAUGUGAUGUUAUAUUACAAAUAGUA
RNAcentral lists this transfer RNA (66 nucleotides) under Dacus humeralis. RNAcentral describes it as "tRNA-Leu". Lineage: Eukaryota; Metazoa; Arthropoda; Insecta; Diptera; Tephritidae. The record is from RNAcentral. RNAcentral also lists the same sequence under 1 other name.